RNAcentral lists this ribosomal RNA (1340 nucleotides) under uncultured bacterium. Its description in RNAcentral is "bacterial SSU rRNA". It matches the Rfam family "Bacterial small subunit ribosomal RNA", at positions 28 to 1381 of the family's 1533-position model. The record is from RNAcentral.
GACGAACGCUGGCGGCGUGCUUAACACAUGCAAGUCGAACGGAAAGGCCCUGCUUGCUGGGUACUCGAGUGGCGAACGGGUGAGUAACACGUGGGUGAUCUGCCCUGCACUUCGGGAUAAGCCUGGGAAACUGGGUCUAAUACCGGAUAGGACCGCACCGUGAGGGUGUGGAGGAAAGUUUUUUCGGUGUGGGAUGGGCCCGCGGCCUAUCAGCUUGUUGGUGGGGUAAUGGCCUACCAAGGCGGCGACGGGUAGCCGGCCUGAGAGGGUGGACGGCCACAUUGGGACUGACACACGGCCCAGACUCCUACGGGAGGCAGAAGUGGGGAAUAUUGCACAAGGGGCGGAAGCCUGAUGCAGCGACGCCGCGUGGGGGAUGACGGCCUUCGGGUUGUAAACUCCUUUCACCAUCCACGAAGGGUUUCUGACGCUAUAUGGAGAAGAAGCCCCGGCUAACUACGUGACAGCAGCCGCGGUAAUACGUAGGGUGCGAGCGUUGUCCGGAAUUACUGGUCGUAAAGAGCUCGUAGGUGGUUUGUCACGUCGUCUGUGACAUUCCGGGGCUUAACUCCGGGGCGUGCAGGCGAUACGGGCAUAACUUGAGUACUGUAGGGGAGACUGGAAUUCCUGGUGUAGCGGUGAAAUGCGCAGAUAUCAGGAGGAACACCGGUGGCGAAGGCGGGUCUCUGGGCAGUAACUGACGCUGAGGAGCGAAAGCAUGGGGAGCGAACAGGAUUAGAUACCCUGGUAGUCCAUGCCGUAAACGGUGGGCGCUAGGUGUGGGUUUCCUUCCACGGGAUCCGUGCCGUAGCUAACGCAUUAAGCGCCCCGCCUGGGGAGUACGGCCGCAAGGCUAAAACUCAAAGGAAUUGACGGGGGCCCGCACAAGCGGCGGAGCAUGUGGAUUAAUUCGAUGCAACGCGAAGAACCUUACCUGGGCUUGACAUAUACAGGAUCGCGCCAGAGAUGGUGUUUCCCUUGUGGCUUGUAUACAGGUGGUGCAUGGUUGUCGUCAGCUCGUGUCGUGAGAUGUUGGGUUAAGUCCCGCAACGAGCGCAACCCUUGUCUUAUGUUGCCAGCACGUUGUGGUGGGGACUCGUAAGAAACUGCCGGGGUUAACUCGGAGGAAGGUGGGGAUGACGUCAAAUCAUCAUGCCCCUUAUGUCCAGGGCUUCACACAUGCUACAAUGGUCGGUACAGUGGGUUGCCAGUCCGUGAGGGCGAGCUAAUCCCGCAAAGCCGGUCUCAGUUCGGAUCGGGGUCUGCAACUCGACCCCGUGAAGUCGGAGUCGCUAGUAAUCGCAGAUCAGCAACGCUGCGGUGAAUACGUUCCCGGGCCU